RNAcentral lists this ribosomal RNA (468 nucleotides) under uncultured bacterium. RNAcentral describes it as "partial 16S ribosomal RNA". It matches the Rfam family "Bacterial small subunit ribosomal RNA", at positions 28 to 507 of the family's 1533-position model. The record is from RNAcentral.
GACGAACGCUGGCGGCGUGCUUAACACAUGCAAGUCGAACGGAAAGGCCCUGCUUUUGUUGGGUGCUCGAGUGGCGAACGGGUGAGUAACACGUGAGUAACCUGCCCUUGACUUUGGGAUAACUUCAGGAAACUGGGGCUAAUACCGGAUAGGAGCUCCUGCUGCAUGGUGGGGGUUGGAAAGUUUCGGCGGUUGGGGAUGGACUCGCGGCUUAUCAGCUUGUUGGUGGGGUAGUGGCUUACCAAGGCUUUGACGGGUAGCCGGCCUGAGAGGGUGACCGGCCACAUUGGGACUGAGAUACGGACCAGAAUCCUACGGGAGGCAGCAGUGGGGAAUAUUGCACAAUGGGCGGAAGCCAGAUGCAGAAACGCCGCGUGCGGGAUGACGGCCUUCGGGUUGUAAACAGAUUUCGAAUGUGACGAAGCGUGAGUGACGGUAAUGGGUAAAGAAGCACCGGCUAACUACGUG